UCCCCUGUGGCGCAGUCGGUUAACGCAUUACGCUUAUAUUUUUCAAAUUAUCUUUUGAGACGUGAACAUCCGGGGUUCGAUCCCCCGCAGGGGAA
Microbotryomycetes sp. JL201 is the source of this 95-nucleotide non-coding RNA. The record is from the annotation of a GenBank genome assembly. NCBI's taxonomy places the organism in Eukaryota, Fungi, Basidiomycota, Microbotryomycetes.